UGUUCUGCUGGAGUCUGGAGGACUGCUGGUCGUUAUCUAACUCUCGCCGCUCCUGGGCCUGGCACGCUGGAAGCUAACAAUUUUCCGCAAGGAAAUUUCCACGGCUUCUUCAGGAGUUUUGGUCUCCAAGCACCUGUGGCCAUGAGCCAAGAAAAGCCCCCGGAAUAUAGCGUCUGUGGGGAGGUAACCGGUGCUCUGUUCUUAAUUUGGAUAGUCUCCCAGACAAUUGAAAUCCCUCCAUGGCCGCAGAGGUGAAUAAUACACCAGGUGGUUGGCCACUGGGACUGGAGAGGUUGACCAUAAGACUCAGGGCCAUGGAGACCUCCUCACAAGCUGUUGUCACAACACCAGACUCACUUCACAUGCGAUCAGAGAGCUUUUCCUCGUACUUAUCCUCUGAACUUGACACUGAGAUGGCAGUCCACGAUAUCUUUCUUUCAAGACCGUAGCAUUACUUUGGGCAGUUUAAUUGGGAUAAGGCCUGGAGAUGGAAAUCUUCGCUUUGCCAGAUCAAUUCUUCCUGAAGAGAUGGGGAGUGAUCCAACUAGAGAUUUGACACCAGAUUCCAUGGAGCAGCAUGAAACAAUGAUUUCAUGUUGUGUUUGUGUUCCAUUAGUCUCAACUAUUCUUAUAGGGAGGACCACUUCAAGAUGCUAAAGUUAAGUGGAAGUAAGGUAUACAAAUUCUACCAAAGAGACCCAUUCUGUUCCUUAGUUUGUAAAGAGAGUAUAUUUGGAUAUCCAAUAUAUGCUACUUCCUGGCAGUGGGUCAAAGGAACUUGCAGUUAUAAGAUUUGAUUGUACCUUGCAAUUAUUGUAUGUGUAUGUAAGAUGCUCAAAAAAUAUCAUGAAAUAAAAAUUAAAUUUAUAUUCAA
Molecule: non-coding RNA, 874 nt
Organism: Elaeis guineensis (African oil palm)
Lineage: Eukaryota; Viridiplantae; Streptophyta; Magnoliopsida; Arecales; Arecaceae
Source: RefSeq, a predicted model, not a curated record